RNAcentral lists this long non-coding RNA (608 nucleotides) under Homo sapiens (human). Its description in RNAcentral is "non-protein coding lnc-CCNA2-1:1". Lineage: Eukaryota; Metazoa; Chordata; Mammalia; Primates; Hominidae. The record is from RNAcentral.
AGACUCAAAGCGUGAUUGGGGAAGGCCAGCGAGCUGCGAGAAGCCAUUGCGGCUUUGGGAGGCCGUUUCUGAACGUGAAGUUCCGUUUCUUUUCUCAUAAAGUGCAGAGGAGAAAAGGAUACUUAAAAUAACCAUGAGAGUGAUAGAAAUUAUUAUCAGUAGACCGCUCGCACACUUCACCCUUUGCUCAGUCCUCUCACGGGGUGGAGACUAGACAUGUACUUCUGCAAUUUCACAGAUGAGUUGACAUUGGUCCCUGGAAAGCCGCAGAUGCAGGAUUUGGAGCAGAUUAAAUGAACAAACACUGGAAUGAGGCGGCAUAAGGGUUGGGGGAGAAAGAUAAAUUGGUGAAAUGGGAUGUUUUUGUGGCCAAAGGUGAAAUCUUGUGGGAUCUGAGAAGUUGAUGAGAAUGGAGAAUGUUCGCACGUAGUAACUAACGAUGUUACUACUACUGUGGACUGAAAGUAAAUGCACCGUUUAUUUCUUAUCCCCUCUCCAGUUAUUUUAAGUCGAUAGACUUUUUUUUACGGUCACAGAGAAGCCUUAGCGGGGCCAUGCUGCCAACCACUCAGCUUUUUUGGAGAGGCAGUAUCAAAUAGUAGUUUUAA